AGCAGCCGCGGUAAUUCCAGCUCCAAUAGCGUAUAUUAAAGUUGUUGCAGUUAAAAAGCUCGUAGUUGAAUUUCGGGAUCAGAUUGUUGGUCGUGCCUCGGUACGCACUGGCAUUAUUGGUUUCUCCCUUCUGACGAACCAUGAUGUCAUUAAUUUGGUGUCUUGGGGAAUCAGGACUGUUACUUUGAAAAAUUAGAGUGUUUAAAGCAGGCUCACGCUUGAAUACAUUAGCAUGGAAUAAUGAAAUAGGACGUUUGAUUCUAUUUUGUUGGUUUCUAGGAUCGACGUAAUGAUUAAUAGGGAUAGUUGGGGGCAUUAGUAUUCAAUUGUCAGAGGUGAAAUUCUUGGAUUUAUUGAAGACUAACUACUGCGAAAGCAUUUGCCAAGGAUGUUUUCAUUAAUCAAGAACGAAAGUUAGGGGAUCGAAGACGAUCAGAUACCGUCGUAGUCUUAACCAUAAACUAUGCCGACUAGGGAUCGGAUGAUGUUAAUUUUUAAUGACUCAUUC
RNAcentral lists this ribosomal RNA (508 nucleotides) under uncultured Glomus. RNAcentral describes it as "SSU rRNA". It matches the Rfam family "Eukaryotic small subunit ribosomal RNA", at positions 569 to 1081 of the family's 1831-position model. Lineage: Eukaryota; Fungi; Glomeromycota; Glomeromycetes; Glomerales; Glomeraceae. The record is from RNAcentral.